AACGUCGUGAGACAGUUCGGUCCCUAUCCGUCGUGGGCGUAGGAAAUUUGAGAGGAGCUGUCCUUAGUACGAGAGGACCGGGAUGGACAUACCUCUGGUGUACCAGUUGUCGUGCCAACGGCAUAGCUGGGUAGCUAUGUGUGGACGGGAUAAGUGCUGAAAGCAUCUAAGCAUGAAGCCCCCCUCAAGAUGAGAUUUCCCAACUUCGGUUAUAAGAUCCCUCAAAGAUGAUGAGGUUAAUAGGUUCGAGGUGGAAGCAUGGUGACAUGUGGAGCUGACGA
Molecule: ribosomal RNA, 281 nt
Filed under: Staphylococcus aureus
Lineage: Bacteria; Bacillati; Bacillota; Bacilli; Caryophanales; Staphylococcaceae
Description: partial 23S ribosomal RNA
Rfam family: Bacterial large subunit ribosomal RNA
Source: RNAcentral